This 497-nucleotide ribosomal RNA is filed under the name uncultured bacterium. RNAcentral describes it as "partial 16S ribosomal RNA". It matches the Rfam family "Bacterial small subunit ribosomal RNA", at positions 28 to 507 of the family's 1533-position model. The record is from RNAcentral.
GAUGAACGCUGGCGGCGUGCCUAAUACAUGCAGGUCGAGCGAACGGACGAGAAGCUUGCUUCUCUGAUGUUAGCGGCGGACGGGUGAGUAACACGUGGAUAACCUACCUAUAAGACUGGGAUAACUUCGGGAAACCGGAGCUAAUACCGGAUAAUAUCUUGAACCGCAUGGUUCAAAAGUGAAAGACGGUCUUGCUGUCACUUAUAGAUGGAUCCGCGCUGCAUUAGCUAGUUGGUAAGGUAACGGCUUACCAAGGCAACGAUGCAUAGCCGACCUGAGAGGGUGAUCGGCCACACUGGAACUGAGACACGGUCCAGACUCCUACGGGAGGCAGCAGUAGGGAAUCUUCCGCAAUGGGCGAAAGCCUGACGGAGCAACGCCGCGUGAGUGAUGAAGGUCUUCGGAUCGUAAAACUCUGUUAUUAGGGAAGAACAUAUGUGUAAGUAACUGUGCACAUCUUGACGGUACCUAAUCAGAAAGCCACGGCUAACUACGUG